Long non-coding RNA from Magnolia sinica, 1477 nucleotides. RefSeq lists it as uncharacterized. The transcript is spliced from 3 exons. NCBI's taxonomy places the organism in Eukaryota, Viridiplantae, Streptophyta, Magnoliopsida, Magnoliales, Magnoliaceae. The record is from RefSeq and is a predicted model, not a curated record.
AAUGCUUGGUUCACUAGUCUUUUCAAAAUGAUAGAUCACUUUUCUCUGUUUUUGUUUUGAUAUAUUUUCAUGCUUCUUGAUCAGCAAGAUGUGACUUGGUGACCAAGUUUUGUCGUUAUUGGCGAUUGCAAUUGGAUGCAUGUCUUUUUUGGUGUUAGUGUAAAUAUUAUUGAGUAAAUGUUCUAUAUUCUUUAGUUCCUUCUUACUGUUGGGAAAGAUAGUAAAUUUUUUUUUUUUUUCAUGUGUUGUUUCAACUUGUUACAGUUCAUUGGAAUAAGCGAUGCUUGUUGGUUUGUUAAACACAUGAUAGCAAACCACAUGUUUGUGAUGUAGGUUGAGGUAUUAUGUUUCUUUUCUUUUUCUCUCUUUUUUAUUUAAUAAUGCAAGUUUCUAUUUGGAUGUACCCUGAGGCCUGCAGAACACUUGCAGUACUGAUUCAGGAGAUGGAUACUAAUCAUCAACUGCCCAUUGUUCGAGGCAUUGAGAGAAACAGGAAACAUUUCAUGUUCGCCUCUGUUUCGAGGUUCCUUUUCGGUAGGACUUGAAAAUUUAAAUGGAUGGAUAAUUAGGGUGGAAACAAAUGAUGCCUGCUCAGUUCCUCCAACCAAGGGACAUCCAAUAUGCUAGAAGAGGGUUUGAUCUAUGGCUUGAAUGAACUUGGUUAGCAUGGGAUGCUUAGAAGCAUGGAAUGAACUGUAAGGUCCUGAUUUGUUUUGCUGCUACUCAGCGGUUUGAGUAGUUUUGUUUUAUGAUUUAAGUGUUAAUCACAGUCAGUUUCAAAGCAAUAUUGGUAGCUGAUUUUUGUUUUGCUGCUACUCAGCGGUUAAUUAAUUAUAUAGCUUCAUGGUUGUUUGAGUAGUUUUGUUCUAUGAUUAACUCAUUUGAACAUUCUGGAUUUAUAGUUUUAACGGUUAAUUGAUUUGUGAUGUGCAUUUGUUUAUUCAUGUUUAGGAAUGACUUUUUAUUGCAGAACAAAAAUACUAUUCAAAACUAGAUAGCGACAUGAACUUGUUGGGGUUAUGAUUCUAUAUGAUGGCUUCAUGCUAUCAAUCUUUCUUUUGCCAUUGCCAACUUCUCAAUUGUUGAGUUUUCAUCAUUUUAUAUCGAGACUAAUACUCCAGUCAUUCAUAUUUGAGUUAGUAAUGUUCCAUCAGUUUCUGUUCUUCAUUGAAAUGCCAAUGUUUGUGUAAGAGAGACAAGAAGUUGUCAUCGAAAAGGUUGUUCGAAAUAAACACAAAUGUGUCACAAUUGUGAAAGGCCUUGAACUCUUUGGUAUUUGCACUUGAUAUUCUUACCUCCUAUUGCACAUGGUAUCAUAAAGGCUGAGGCCCCUCACUUACAUUAAGGACAUCAAUUUUCACUAUUGGGUGGAUUUCUGUAGAAAUGUUUGCCUUUUGUGAUUUUUGAUGCUCAUAUAAUGGUAGUGGAGUAAAAUUCUUCCAAGAAACAUUCCACUGGUGUGCAAGACUUAUCUUGG